GAUGAACGCUGGCGGCGUGCCUAAUACAUGCGAGUCGAGCGAACAGACGAGGAGCUUGCUCCUCUGACGUUAGCGGCGGACGGGUGAGUAACACGUGGAUAACCUACCUAUAAGACUGGGAUAACUUCGGGAAACCGGAGCUAAUACCGGAUAAUAUAUUGAACCGCAUGGUUCAAUAGUGAAAGACGGUUUUGCUGUCACUUAUAGAUGGAUCCGCGCCGCAUUAGCUAGUUGGUAAGGUAACGGCUUACCAAGGCAACGAUGCGUAGCCGACCUGAGAGGGGGAUCGGCCACACUGGAACUGAGACACGGUCCAGACUCCUACGGGAGGCAGCAGUAGGGAAUCUUCCGCAAUGGGCGAAAGCCUGACGGAGCAACGCCGCGUGAGUGAUGAAGGUCUUCGGAUCGUAAAACUCUGUUAUUAGGGAAGAACAAAUGUGUAAGUAACUAUGCACGUCUUGACGGUACCUAAUCAGAAAGCCACGGCUAACUACGU
RNAcentral lists this ribosomal RNA (496 nucleotides) under uncultured bacterium. RNAcentral describes it as "partial 16S ribosomal RNA". It matches the Rfam family "Bacterial small subunit ribosomal RNA", at positions 28 to 506 of the family's 1533-position model. The record is from RNAcentral.